Mesocricetus auratus (golden hamster) is the source of this 3541-nucleotide long non-coding RNA. RefSeq lists it as uncharacterized. The record is from RefSeq and is a predicted model, not a curated record. The transcript has 5 exons. Lineage: Eukaryota; Metazoa; Chordata; Mammalia; Rodentia; Cricetidae.
GCUGCCAGUUUCUGAAGCACUGGUGCAAAUGGAACCCAACUCUUGAUUUCCUCCCAACUGAAGAAGAAAGCAGUUACCUCUAUGCCGCGUCCUUAUGUAAGAUCGCAUCGCCAUCAUUCAUUUAUAGUAAGCAGGGGCAGAACUCAUCGGGCAACUGGUGUGGCCUGAGUUGUCCGAGCUUGGCAGGGAGGAGCCUGGUGAAUCUGAUCAAUUUCAGGGACUGGGACUUCCUGAAGAUAUUUUGAGUCGUGUAACCUUCCUGUUCAAAGGAGAGAGUGUUUCAAUUUGGGGAGGAAACUGGUCCACAAGAGCAGCCACCUCCUGGGAAGAAGGAACUUCAGUUGAGAAAAUGCCUCCAUCAGAUUGCCCUGUAGGAAAGUCUGUGGGGCAUUUUCUUGAUUAAUGAUUGAUGCCAGAAGGAACCCCCACUGGGAAAGUGGUCCUGGGUUGUAUAACCAAGCAGCCUGAGCAAGCUAUGGACAGCAAUCCAGUCUGCAGCUCUCCUCCAUGCCCCUGCCUCAGAGGCUCCUACUUCUCCUUCCCACCGUGAGUUGCAGUCUUGGAGUCCCUCAAGGACGGAAGGUGACCUAUAAGUCAAAUAAACCUUUGCCUCCCAAAGUUGUUUUUGGUCACGAUCUUUAUCACAGCAAUCACAAGCAAACUAGGACACAGGUGGUUGUGAGACACCUGACUUGGAACUAAGGUUUUCCUGGAAAAGCACGAAGUGCUCUUAACUGCUGAGCCAUCUCUCCAGCCCCGUUGCAACAUUCCGUCAACAAAGUGUUUCUGUGGUCCUCUCUCCCCUUUUCCAUGUCCCUAAGCCCUCUGCCCUCCCUUCAUUUCAUCUUCAUUGCCUGGUGUACCCGUUCUUGGUCUCCUUUCCAGAUUUCUAGACUUUAUCUACACUUACACCUGUUUGUAUGUACACGCAGACAUCAUUGUAGGGGGAGGGAGUUGUUUAUUCAAAAAUAUGGUUCGGUAUCAUGAGCAGGGCACACUCGAGAGCUCACCAAAGCUCGUGUGAGGGUCAGGUGUGUGGCCUGCUCUUCCUCAUCAGCCGUGGCUUCAGUGGGCCAAGAGGACAUAGCUCUAUUCUGAGUACGUAGUGGAGAAAAAUGGAUUGCAAAAGAAUUCAAGGGGAAGAAAGAAGAGAGUAAAGUUGGUCUUGCAUCAAAAUUCAGGUAAGAUUUGAUGACGAUUUAGACUGUUGUUAGCGAUAGAGAUGGAGAAAAAUAGACGAAUUUGAAAUACAAUUUGAGGUUACAGAUUUGCUAAUUCAAGUCUAGGGAGAUAAUUCAGCCAGGAAAAUAUGCUAACAUUGCAUGCAUGAGAACCUGGGUGUGAGCCGUAGAGGCCAGGCACAGUAAGUAGCACACACUUGUAAUCAAGGUGGACACAGGCAGAUCCCUGGGCUCACUGGCCAGCAAGCCUAGUGCACUUAAUGAGAUCCAGGAUGAUAAGGGAUCACGAAACAAAAAGAUAAGGGGGACCCUGAGGAAAAGUGCCCAAGGCACUUAGGGUGUUACUGCUGUGUAGAGACACCACGACCACAGAAACUCUUAUAAAGGGAAACAUUUAAUUGGAUAUGGCUUGGAGUUCAAAGAUUUAGUCCGUUAUCGUCAUGAUAACAAGCAUGGUGGCAUGCAGCAGACAUGGUGCUGGAGAAGGAGCUGAGAGUUCUACAUGCAAAUCCUCCGGCAGCAGGAAGGGAGAGACACUGGGCCUGGCUUGAGCAUCUAAAACCUCCAAGCCCUAUCUGGGCAGUAGUAGCACACGCCUCUAAUCCCAGCACUCAGGAGGCAGAGGCAAGCAGAUUCUCUGUGAGUUCAAGGCCAGCCUGUUCUACAGAGUGAGUUGACUGUUAUACAGAGAAACCCUGUCUUGAAAAACCAAAUAAGACAAAUAAGAAAUAGAGGGGGUAGGGGCGGAAAGACCUCAAAGCACACACCCUAGUGACACACUUCCAACAAGGCCACACUCUGUAGUAGUGCCACUCCCUAUGGGCUAAGCAUACAAACCCAUGGGUCUAUGGGAGCCAUUCCUAUAGGGGGCAAGCCUGUUAUCCCAGCACUGGAGAGAGAGAGGCAGGCAGAUCUCUGUGCGCUCAAGACCAGCCUAGUCUAUGUAGUGAGUUCUAGGCCAGUCAGCAUUACAUAGUGGGACCCUCUCUCAAAAAAGAAGGAAAAGAAAGGAAUGAAAGAAACCACGAGUAUAUGAAACAACAGUUUUAGUUUUCCAAAAGAAAAAUUGCAAAACAAUACAGAGAAACCCUGUCUCGUAAAAAACCAAAAAAAAAAAAAAAGAAAGAAAGAAAAGAAGAAAAUUUGAUUUUGUUUGAACCAAAUACGUGCAGAUGGCUAACUGUUGGUCACUAAUUUUAACUAUUUCACUUGCUCCACUUUUGUAGUGACUGAUGAGGCACCCAGCCCUCCAAUGAAACGAGUAUAUCUAUUUUGGAACUUCCUGUUGAAUUGUUCUUACACAAGGGAUUCUGCUAGAACAAUGUUAGACUCUCUCCCUUAGGAAACAGAUCCAGAUAUUUAUAAUCACUCUCCAAAAAAUAAAAAAGCCUACUAGUAGAAGAAAACAAAUCUUGUAGAGAGAGAGAGAGAAUAAAAAGAAAAAGAAAUGUGUACCAAAAAAUUUUACACAUAUACCAUUUGACACAAAAUUCUACAUUGAAACAAUGUAGCAUAAUGCAGUCAGUACAAGAUGUUUGAGUAAGUAUGUUCAUCACAAUUGUAUUAUACCACCACCAUCACCACCACACAAAAGGCUAUUUUGCUACUAAGGGAUGAGAGGUUAUUGAAGAAAGACCCUAGAAACCUACUAAGGAAAUGCUAUGCACUUAUUCAGUACUGACUGGGAUCUUACCAAGUGAGAAAAGGUUUUGCUUUGCUUGUUUUUGUUAUGGCCUCUGCACUUGCUACUGUUGGUGUUGUUCCUUUGUUUUCUGUGAUGAAGUUUCAGAUUUACUGUGAAGUUAAGGGUGGCCUUGAAUUCCUGAUCCUCCUGCCUGGGACUUCCAAGUGCUGAGAUUACCGAGGUUUGCCACCGUGCCUGUCUCCUUUUGCUUUCAACUCAGAAGUACAUGAAUCAGUGCAGGGGACAAAAGAUGAAAGAGGAUGUAGUACUCUCAGCUCCUCCUUCAGCAACACAUCUGCUUGCAUGCCGCCAUGUUCCCCGUCAUGAUGAUAAUGAACGGAACCUCUGAAGCUGGGUUCCCCCCUUGCAAAUGAGAAAGUCAGCAUAGAAGACAAUUCACGGUCACCAGACUGGACCAAAGAUCCAGACCCUGGAGUUCCUGAUGGACAGGAGAUGACACACCGGCCUCUUGCCCCAGGCUGUUGCUGUCUUACUGAACAUUGCAACGUAGGCAUAAACUUGUACACAUCACAGAGCCGAGUCUUGCUACAACACCAUCAAAAGUUCUCUGUCUUGGGCUAACUGCAUGUGCUUAAAUCCCAGCAUUUGGGAGGCAGAGGCAGGCGGAUCUCUGUGAGUUCGAGGCCAUCCCGGUCUACAAAGCGAGUUCCAGGAA